UAAAAGUUAGUUUAAGUGAGAGAAUGUUCGAUUGUUGAUCGAAGGGUUAGACUUUUAG
This 58-nucleotide transfer RNA is filed under the name Ascaridia columbae. RNAcentral's name for it is "tRNA-Asn". The record is from RNAcentral. Lineage: Eukaryota; Metazoa; Nematoda; Chromadorea; Rhabditida; Ascaridiidae.